Molecule: unclassified non-coding RNA, 365 nt
Filed under: rhizosphere metagenome
Description: partial ribosomal RNA internal transcribed spacer region
Source: RNAcentral
GUAGGUGAACCUGCGGAAGGAUCAUUACUAAGUUGGCCUCCCGCCUCCGGGCGCGGCACGAUUCCACGUGUGUUAACAGUUUAGAUUUCCCUUCGGGGAGGCUGGCUGGACCCCUUAGGAGACGCUGAACAGUAGAGAUACUGAUUAGGCCCCGGUAUAGGGGUUUGCGGUGGUGGGUAGUAAAUACCGCCUUUAGGAUGAACAACUUACACCCGUGUCUACCUUCUUUGUUGCUUUGGCGGGCCGCCUUACGGCGUUGGCUCCGGCUGGACCGUGCCUGCCAGAGGACCCAAACUCUUUUAUUUUAGUGAUGUCUGAGUAAUAUAUAAUAGUUAAAACUUUCAACAACGGAUCUCUUGGUUCUG